GGGUAUAUAGCUCAAUGGUAGAGUGCAUGCUUAGCAUGCAUGAGGUCCUGGGCUCAAUCCCCAGUGCCUCCA
RNAcentral lists this transfer RNA (72 nucleotides) under Camelus bactrianus (Bactrian camel). It matches the Rfam family "tRNA". Rfam says of the family: Transfer RNA (tRNA) molecules are approximately 80 nucleotides in length. Lineage: Eukaryota; Metazoa; Chordata; Mammalia; Artiodactyla; Camelidae. RNAcentral also lists the same sequence under 1 other name. The record is from Rfam by way of RNAcentral.